GCCAGGUUCUGUGAUUCAUACUGUAGGGUGGCCUUUGGACAUGAAGACAUAUGGAGGAUCAUUUCUAUACCACCUUGAUGAUAGACAGGUACUUUUGAGAUUGCAGCUUGUCAUUACCACGUAUUAUAUGUUUUGCUUGCAAGGAUUGUUAUCUGUGCAAAUAUAUAAUAUACAAUCUCAUUUCUACACCACCUUGAUGAUAGACAGGUACUUUUGAAAUUUGCAGCUCAUCAUUAUUGGUGUUAUAUGUUUUGCUUGCAAUAAUUGAUCUGUGUAAAUAUAUAAUAUACCAUCUCAGAUUAUAGGAACCAUUCUUCUGCACAACCUAAAUUUAGUCAGCAAAAAAAGGUUCAUCUGACUUUGCUGUGUCAAGUGAUCUCUUCUAUGAACAAAAAUCUUCACUUGAGUUUUGUUGUUGUUGAACUUGUUAUUUCUAUUAGAAGAAUGCCAAAACAGCACGGAAGCUACAGAAGCACCGGUCUGUUGUCUACCCAAAUCAGAAACCAAUACACUAAAAUCCUAAAACAAAGGAAGGAAAAGCAGUAAAGCACCACAAACAUUUUCGUUUGAGUUGGAAGGGGGAAGUGAUAGUUCAUCCUCUAUCAUUUG
This 609-nucleotide long non-coding RNA is filed under the name Hordeum vulgare. RNAcentral describes it as "long non-coding RNA (HVUL_LNC001400)". Lineage: Eukaryota; Viridiplantae; Streptophyta; Magnoliopsida; Poales; Poaceae. The record is from RNAcentral.